Molecule: ribosomal RNA, 966 nt
Filed under: uncultured bacterium
Lineage: Bacteria
Description: bacterial SSU rRNA
Rfam family: Bacterial small subunit ribosomal RNA
Source: RNAcentral
ACAGUUGAUCCUGGGUGAGGACGAACGCUGGCGGCGUGCUUAACACAUGCAAGUCGAACGAUGAAGCCCUUCGGGGUGGAUUAGUGGCGAACGGGUGAGUAACACGUGGGCAAUCUGCCCUUCACUCUGGGACAAGCCCUGGAAACGGGGUCUAAUACCGGAUACGACGCGCUCGGGCAUCCGAUGUGCGUGGAAAGCUCCGGCGGUGAAGGAUGAGCCCGCGGCCUAUCAGCUUGUUGGUGAGGUAACGGCUCACCAAGGCGACGACGGGUAGCCGGCCUGAGAGGGCGACCGGCCACACUGGGACUGAGACACGGCCCAGACUCCUACGGGAGGCAGCAGUGGGGAAUAUUGCACAAUGGGCGAAAGCCUGAUGCAGCGACGCCGCGUGAGGGAUGACGGCCUUCGGGUUGUAAACCUCUUUCAGCAGGGAAGAAGCGAGAGUGACGGUACCUGCAGAAGAAGCGCCGGCUAACUACGUGCCAGCAGCCGCGGUAAUACGUAGGGCGCGAGCGUUGUCCGGAAUUAUUGGGCGUAAAGAGCUCGUAGGCGGUCUGGCAAGUUGGGUGUGAAAGCUCCCGGCUAAACUGGGAGAGGCCAUUCAGGACUGCCAGGCUAGAGGUCGGUAGAGGGGCGCAGAAUUCGGGGUGUAGCGGUGAAAUGUGUAGAGAUCCCGAGGAAUACCAGUGGGGAAGCCGGCGCCCUGGGCCGAAUCUGACGCUGAGGCGCGACAGCGUGGGGAGCGAACGGGAUUAGAGACCCCGGUAGUCCACGCCGUAAACGAUGCAGACUGGGUGUUCACUGCCUUACGGGGCAGGGAGUGCCGAAGCCUACGCGCUAAGUCGGCGUCUGGGGAGUACGGUCGAAGGCUAAAACUCAAAGGAAUUGACGGGGGCCCGCACAGCAGCGGAGCGGGGGGUUAAUUUAAGGUUAAAGAAGAAUUUAAUUGGGUUGAAUAUGGGGGGU